AACGGUCUAUACCUGCGGUACCUGUGGAGGGAUCAUUAAUGAGAAACUGCCCCUCGCGGGUAGAUCUCCCACCCUUUGUAAACUUACCUUUGUUGCUUUGGCAGGCCCGUCUCCGGACCGCCGGCUUCGGCUGGCCAGUGCCUGCCAGAGGAUUCUAAAACUCUGUCUGUCAGUGUUGUCUGAGUCUAUAUACAAUCGUUAAAACUUUUAACAAUGGAUCUCUAGAUCGGAAGAGCACAC
This 240-nucleotide unclassified non-coding RNA is filed under the name soil metagenome. RNAcentral's name for it is "partial contains 5.8S ribosomal RNA, internal transcribed spacer 2, and large subunit ribosomal RNA". The record is from RNAcentral.